GAAUUUAAACCUCUUCCAGAGUAUCAAUUGGAGGGCAAGUCUGGUGCCAGCAGCCGCGGUAAUUCCAGCUCCAAUAGCGUAUAUUAAAAUUGUUGCAGUUAAAAAGCUCGUAGUUGAAUUUCUGCUGCAUUGCUUGUGUCCCUCUGGGGUCUGUGCAUGUGGCUCUUUUCGGACGGAGUUUCUUUGUCUGAAUGUUUACUUUGAGAAAAUUAGAGUGCUCAAAGCAGGCUUUCGCCUUGAAUAGUUUAGCAUGGAAUAAUAAAGUAGGACUUUGGUUCUAUUUUGUUGGUUUUAGGUACCAAAGUAAUGGUUAAUAGGAACAGUUGGGGGCAUUCGUAUUUAACUGUCAGAGGUGAAAUUCUUAGAUUUGUUAAAGACGAACUACUGCGAAAGCAUUUGCCAAGGAUGUUUUCAUUAAUCAAGAACGAAAGUUAGGGGAUCGAAGACGAUCAGAUACCGU
This 460-nucleotide ribosomal RNA is filed under the name Theileria annulata. RNAcentral describes it as "SSU rRNA". It matches the Rfam family "Eukaryotic small subunit ribosomal RNA", at positions 521 to 1018 of the family's 1831-position model. The record is from RNAcentral. Lineage: Eukaryota; Apicomplexa; Aconoidasida; Piroplasmida; Theileriidae.